UCGGGAAUUUUGGGCAAUGGGCGAAAGCCUGACCCAGCAACGCCGCGUGAAGGAUGAAGUAUUUCGGUAUGUAAACUUCGAAAGAAUAGGAAGAAUAAAUGACGGUACUAUUUAUAAGGUCCGGCUAACUACGUGCCAGCAGUCGCGGUAAUACGUAGGGUGCGAGCGUUAAUCGGAAUUACUGGGCGUAAAGCGUGCGCAGGCGGCGACAUAAGACAGAUGUGAAAUCCCCGGGCUCAACCUGGGAACUGCGUUUGUGACUGUGUUGCUAGAGUGUAGCAGAGGGGGGUGGAAUUCCACGUGUAGCAGUGAAAUGCGUAGAGAUGUGGAGGAACACCGAUGGCGAAGGCAGCCCCCUGGGUUAACACUGGCGCUCAUGCACGAAAGCGUGGGGAGCAAACAGGAUUAGAUACCCAGGUAGUCCCUGAGCGGGCUGGCAAGGCGCAU
RNAcentral lists this ribosomal RNA (447 nucleotides) under uncultured bacterium. RNAcentral describes it as "bacterial SSU rRNA". It matches the Rfam family "Bacterial small subunit ribosomal RNA", at positions 355 to 825 of the family's 1533-position model. The record is from RNAcentral.